CCUACGGGAGGCAGCAGUGGGGAAUAUUGGGCAAUGGAGGAAACUCUGACCCAGCGACGCCGCGUGCGGGAUGAAGGCCUUCGGGUUGUAAACCGCUUUCAGUAGGGAAGAAGCGAAAGUGACGGUACCUACAGAAGAAGCACCGGCUAACUAUGUGCCAGCAGCCGCGGUAAUACAUAGGGUGCAAGCGUUGUCCGGAAUUAUUGGGCGUAAAGAGCUCGUAGGUGGUUCGUCACGUCGGAUGUGAAAAUCUGGGGCUCAACCCCAGACCUGCAUUCGAUACGGGCGAUCUAGAGUGUGGUAGGGGAGACUGGAAUUCCUGGUGUAGCGGUGGAAUGCGCAGAUAUCAGGAGGAACACCAAUGGCGAAGGCAGGUCUCUGGGCCAUUACUGACACUGAGGAGCGAAAGCGUGGGGAGCGAACAGGAUUAGAUACCCUGGUAGUCCACGCCGUAAACGGUGGGCACUAGUUGUGGGAACCUUCCACGGUUUCUGCGACGCAGCUAACGCAUUAAGUGUCCCGCCUGGGGAGUACGNUCGNAAGAUUAAACUCGAAAGGUAAUUGACGG
RNAcentral lists this ribosomal RNA (568 nucleotides) under uncultured bacterium. RNAcentral's name for it is "bacterial SSU rRNA". It matches the Rfam family "Bacterial small subunit ribosomal RNA", at positions 338 to 916 of the family's 1533-position model. The record is from RNAcentral.